GAUGAACGCUAGCUACAGGCUUAACACAUGCAAGUCGAGGGACCGGCGCACGGGUGAGUAACACGUAUCCAACCUGCCCUUUACUCGGGGAUAGCCUUUCGAAAGAAAGAUUAAUACCCGAUGUAAAGGAUGGGGAUGCGUUCCAUUAGGUUGUGGGUGAGGUAACGGCUCACCAAGCCUUCGAUGGAUAGGGGUUCUGAGUGGAAGGUCCCCCACAUUGGACCUGAGACACGGUCCAAACUCCUACGGGAGGCAGCAGUGGGGAAGAUUGGUCAAUGGGCGUUAGCCUGAACCAGCCAAGUAGCGUGUAUGAAGAAGGCCUAGGGUUGUAAAGUACUUUCAGUCGGGAGGCGUUACCGACAGAAGAAGCACCGGCUAACUCCGUGCCAGCAGCCGCGGUAAUUC
Molecule: ribosomal RNA, 405 nt
Filed under: uncultured bacterium
Lineage: Bacteria
Description: partial 16S ribosomal RNA
Rfam family: Bacterial small subunit ribosomal RNA
Source: RNAcentral